UUUUUAGUAUAAGUAUGUUCUAUGCAAUAUUUGGGACAUACUUACUUCUACUAAAA
Molecule: microRNA precursor, 56 nt
Filed under: Equus caballus (horse)
Lineage: Eukaryota; Metazoa; Chordata; Mammalia; Perissodactyla; Equidae
Description: mir-1302 microRNA precursor family
Rfam family: mir-1302 microRNA precursor family
Source: Rfam by way of RNAcentral